Molecule: long non-coding RNA, 435 nt
Filed under: Mytilus galloprovincialis (Mediterranean mussel)
Lineage: Eukaryota; Metazoa; Mollusca; Bivalvia; Mytilida; Mytilidae
Source: RNAcentral
CUUCUUAUCAAAAUUUCUUUGAUGUGGAAAGACUUUCAAUUGUUAUCUGAACAAUUGGUUUUUAAUUAUUAAGUCUUUUCACUUUUUUGUGAAAAGACUUAUUGUAUUUCUUCUGAUUAUUAAGUCUUUCCACUUUUCUGUGGAAAGACUUAUUGUUUUUGUUCUGAUUAUUAUUAAGUCUUUCCAUUUUUCUGUGGAAAGACUUAUUGUUUUUGUUCUGAUUAUUAUUAUUAUUAUUAUUAUUAUUAUUAUUUUUUUCUUCCGCCAAAUUUUGUUCUUGCGCAAAAUGUUUCUUUCGCAAUAUGUCGCUUAGAUAUUUCUCAUAUGGUAUCGUAUAGUUUAUGCGCUUUUAAAUUUCACCCUGCUAAGGCGAACCAUUUUCUAUGUAAGAGUUAUCUCCCUUUUCACUGUUUAUCCUCUGUGUGCAUCUCCUUC